This 2704-nucleotide ribosomal RNA is filed under the name Clostridioides difficile. RNAcentral's name for it is "23S ribosomal RNA". It matches the Rfam family "Bacterial large subunit ribosomal RNA". The record is from RNAcentral. Lineage: Bacteria; Bacillati; Bacillota; Clostridia; Peptostreptococcales; Peptostreptococcaceae.
GAAACAUCUAAGUACCUGAAGGAAGAGAAAGAAAUUCGAUUCCGUAAGUAGCGGCGAGCGAACGCGGAUUAGCCCAAACCAAUAAAGUUUUCUUUAUUGGGGUUGCGGACAUAUCAUAACGAAGAGGUAUCGUAAUUGAAGAGGUUUGGAAAGACCCACCACAGAAGGUAAUAGUCCUGUAUGUUAAACGAGAAGACUUUAGAUAUGAUCCAGAGUACCACGGGACACGUGAAACCCUGUGGGAAGCAGGAGGGACCACCCUCCAAGGCUAAAUACUACCUAGUGACCGAUAGCGUAUAGUACCGUGAGGGAAAGGUGAAAAGAACCCCGGGAGGGGAGUGAAAUAGAACCUGAAACCCUGCACUUACAAGCUGUGGAAGCACAUUUCUUGUGUGACCGCGUACUUUUUGUAGAACGGGCCAACGAGUUACGUUAAGUAGCAAGGUUAAGCACUUAAGGUGCGGAGCCGUAGCGAAAGCGAGUUUUAACUGAGCGUUCAGUUACUUGACGUAGACCCGAAACCGGGCGACCUACCCAUGAGCAGGAUGAAGCGAAAGUAAAAUUUCGUGGAGGUCCGAACCCACGAGCGUUGAAAAGCUCGGGGAUGACUUGUGGGUAGCGGUGAAAUUCCAAUCGAGCCCGGAGAUAGCUGGUUCUCCCCGAAAUAGCUUUAGGGCUAGCCUCAAGGUGAGAGAUACGGAGGUAGAGCACUGAAUGUCCUAGGGGGUAUUGCACCUACCGAAGACUAUCAAACUCCGAAUGCCGUCAUCUUAUACUUGGGAGUCAGACUGUGGGUGAUAAGAUUCAUAGUCGAAAGGGCAACAGCCCAGAUCGUCAGCUAAGGUCCCUAAAUGUAAGUUAAGUGGUAAAGGAUGUGGGAUUGCACAGACAACCAGGAUGUUGGCUUAGAAGCAGCCACUCAUUCAAAGAGUGCGUAAUAGCUCACUGGUCGAGUGAUCCUGCGCCGAAGAUUUCCGGGGCUAAAACUUACUACCGAAGCUACGGCAUCAGUAAUGAUGGGUAGGGGAGCUUCCCAUACGGGUUGAAGCAUGACCGUAAGGACAUGUGGACAGUAUGGGAGUGAGAAUGUUGGCAUGAGUAGCGAGAUGUGGGUGAGAAUCCCACAGGCCGUAAACCCAAGGUUUCCAGGGGAAGGUUCGUCCGCCCUGGGUUAGUCGGGACCUAAGCUGAGGCCGAAAGGCGUAGGUGAUGGACAACAGGUUGAUAUUCCUGUACUACCGAUAACCGUUUGAGAGAAGGGAUGACACAGUAGGAUAAGCUAAGCACACUGUUGGUUAUGUGUGCCCAAGCAUUGAGGCAGUCAAAGUAGGCAAAUCCGCUUUGAUAAUGCUGGGAUGUGAUGGGGAGCGAAAUUUAGUAGCGAAGUAGCUGAUUUCACACUGUCAAGAAAAGUCUCUAUCGAGGUUAAAGGUACCCGUACCGCAAACCGACACAGGUGGGUGAGGAGAGUAUCCUAAGGCCAGCGAGAGAACUGUUGUUAAGGAACUCGGCAAAAUGACCCCGUAACUUAGGGAUAAGGGGUGCCACCAUCAGGUGGCCGCAGAGAAUAGGCCCAAGCGACUGUUUACCAAAAACAUAGGUUUCUGCUAAGUCGCAAGACGAUGUAUAGGAGCUGACGCCUGCCCGGUGCUGGAAGGUUAAGGGGAUCUGUUAGAGCAAUCGAAGCAGUGAACUUAAGCCCCAGUAAACGGCGGCCGUAACUAUAACGGUCCUAAGGUAGCGAAAUUCCUUGUCGGGUAAGUUCCGACCCGCACGAAAGGCGUAACGAUUUGGGCACUGUCUCAACAACAGACUCGGUGAAAUUGUAAUUCCGGUGAAGAUGCCGGAUACCUGCGACAGGACGGAAAGACCCCAUGGAGCUUUACUGUAGCUUGACAUUGGGUCUUGGUACUACAUGUACAGGAUAGGUGGGAGGCUUUGAAACCAGGACGCCAGUUUUGGCGGAGCCAUCCUUGGGAUACCACCCUUGUAGUACUGGGACUCUAACCAUAGGCCAUGAAUCUGGUCUUGGGACACUGUCAGGUGGGCAGUUUGACUGGGGCGGUCGCCUCCCAAAAGGUAACGGAGGCGCUCAAAGGUUCUCUCAGUACGGUCGGAAAUCGUACGUAGAGUGUAAAGGCAAAAGAGAGCUUGAUUGCAAGACAUACAGGUCGAGCAAGGAUGAAAAUCGGACUUAGUGAUCCGGUGGUUCUGCGUGGAAGGGCCAUCGCUCAACGGAUAAAAGCUACCCUGGGGAUAACAGGCUUAUCUCCCCCAAGAGUCCACAUCGACGGGGAGGUUUGGCACCUCGAUGUCGGCUCAUCACAUCCUGGGGCUGUAGUAGGUCCCAAGGGUUGGGCUGUUCGCCCAUUAAAGUGGUACGCGAGCUGGGUUCAGAACGUCGUGAGACAGUUCGGUCCCUAUCCGUCGCAGGCGUAGGAAAUUUGAGAAGACCUGUCCUUAGUACGAGAGGACCGGGAUGGACGUACCUCUGGUGUACCAGUUGUCCUGCCAAGGGCAUGGCUGGGUAGCUAUGUACGGAAUGGAUAAGCGCUGAAAGCAUCUAAGCGCGAAGCCAACUUCAAGAUAAGAUUUCCCACCGCAAGGGUAAGACCCCAGAAAGACUAUCUGGUUGAUAGGUCGAAGGUGUAAGUGCAGCAAUGUAUUUAGCUUAUCGAUACUAAUAGGUCGAGGACUUGACCAA